RNAcentral lists this unclassified non-coding RNA (432 nucleotides) under soil metagenome. Its description in RNAcentral is "partial contains 5.8S ribosomal RNA, internal transcribed spacer 2, and large subunit ribosomal RNA". The stretch from base 1 to 120 matches the Rfam family "5.8S ribosomal RNA", at positions 35 to 154 of the family's 154-position model. The record is from RNAcentral.
GAUGAAGAACGUAGCGAAAUGCGAUACGUAAUGUGAAUUGCAGAAUUCAGUGAAUCAUCGAAUCUUUGAACGCAUAUUGCGCUCUCUGGUAUUCCAGAGAGCAUGCUUGUUUGAGUAUCAGUAAACACCUCAACUUCCAUAUCUUUUUUGAAAUGGGAGUUGGACUUGAGUGAUCCCAACGCUUUUCCUCACCGAAAAGUGGCGGGUUACUUGAAAUGCAGGUGCAGCUGGACUUUUCUCUGAGCUAUAAGCAUAUCUAUUUAGUCUGCCUAAAAAACAGAUUAUUACCUUUGCUGCAGCUAACAUAAAGGAGAUUAGUUCUUGUGCUGACUGAUGCAGGAUUCACAAAGACGGCUUCGGCCGACUUUGUAAACUCGAUCUCAAAUCAAGUAAGACUACCCGCUGAACUUAAGCAUAUCAAUAAGCGGAGGA